Molecule: ribosomal RNA, 254 nt
Filed under: uncultured bacterium
Lineage: Bacteria
Description: partial small subunit ribosomal RNA
Rfam family: Bacterial small subunit ribosomal RNA
Source: RNAcentral
GGGACGAACGCUGGCGGCGUGCUUAACACAUGCAAGUCGAGCGGAAAGGCCCUUCGGGGUACUCGAGCGGCGAACGGGUGAGUAACACGUGAGCAACCUGCCCUUAGCUCUGGGAUAGCUCCGGGAAACCGGAAUUAAUACCGGAUAUUACACCGGCUGGCAUCGGCUGGUGUGGAAAGAUUUAUCGGCUAAGGAUGGACUCGCGGCCUAUCAGCUUGUUGGUGGGUAGAAGCCUACCAAGGCGACGACGGGUA